This is a long non-coding RNA of Hemibagrus wyckioides, 1061 nucleotides long. RefSeq lists it as uncharacterized. Lineage: Eukaryota; Metazoa; Chordata; Actinopteri; Siluriformes; Bagridae. The record is from RefSeq and is a predicted model, not a curated record. The transcript is spliced from 4 exons.
UAUAAAUAACGGCGCUCUCGGGAGGGUCGGUCUCUUCUCCUCCUGUGCAGCGGCAGUGUGUUUAUAGUGGAGCGGAUUGAAGCUGUUAAAUUCUCCUCGAUAUAAUGUUUAAUACUGGAGCUUUAACUAUGAACACUCUAAGGCCUCCUUGAUCGAAUGCACGUGGCUUGUCUGUCUGGAAGGAAAACUCCAGCUUGAGCAUCAGCUACAGCAGGAAACUGACUUCAGGAUACCACUGGACCUGAUCUGAAUCUGAGUACAGAUGGAGGAGGAGGAUGAGAUGGUGUAGUCCUUGAUGGCUAAAGGACAUGUAAUGGGUGCAAGCUGGAGGCAAAACAAAGGGUAAACUGGAGCUGGCCAAUACAAACCAGUAGUCGGCUACAUGAGGAAUGCAAAUCUUGUUGCACCAGAAAAUGCAGCUCCACCUUAAAUAGUAUUGUGGUUGCAUGGCUGUAAUAAACUGAUGUCAGGAUAAAGAAUUAGUGAUAACUUGCUCAUCUCAUAGCAUGGCUAACAUAACAGGUAAGUUAUGUAUUCAUUGUGGUUUCAAAUGAUUUUGGCUAUGUACCCAGCCAUGAAAGUGCAGUUUGCUGUCAAGAGGUUCCUGCUCUGUUUACAAUGACCACAACCUGGUACAGUUGUCUUCCGUCCUUGCUGCUGGCUGGACAGGACUUCAGAUAUUCCCAUUCAGUGCACAGUUUUAGGCAUCUAACUUAAAAGCCCUCAGUUUUUCUUUACUAUACACUUGUUUUUCUAUCAGGUGUAGAUGUCUGUUCACUCAACUGGAGGUCACAGUCCAUCCACUGAUGGAGCAUGUAUGGGUCAGCCAAUCUCGUUCUGUCAAAGUUCAAUUUUUUUUCAAAUAAUUGAGUGACCUAACAUAGUCCUGAUAAAUUCACAUUUUGACCAGUUCAAAUCUUUCUGCACCCCCCCCCCCCAAAAAAAACCACAAUGUUUACUAGCAGAAAAAGGGUCUGUAGUUCAGGGAAGAUCACAUGACUGCUAUUGCUUAGUAUGUUGGAAUGUAUGAAGGCUGUGUAAAUAAAGAGAUUUAAUCCAAA